UGCGAGCAAAUUUAAUAUUCA
RNAcentral lists this non-coding RNA (21 nucleotides) under Caenorhabditis elegans. Lineage: Eukaryota; Metazoa; Nematoda; Chromadorea; Rhabditida; Rhabditidae. The record is from RNAcentral.